This 480-nucleotide ribosomal RNA is filed under the name swine manure pit bacterium PPC36. Its description in RNAcentral is "bacterial SSU rRNA". It matches the Rfam family "Bacterial small subunit ribosomal RNA", at positions 7 to 499 of the family's 1533-position model. The record is from RNAcentral.
GAGAGUUUGAUUCUGGCUCAGGAUGAACGCUGGCGGCGUGCUUAACACAUGCAAGUCGAACGAACUGAUAGGAGCCUAGCUCCUUGACGUUAGUGGCGGACGGGUGAGUAACGCGUGGGUAAUCUGCCUUAUACAAAGGGAUAACUCAGAGAAAUCUGUGCUAAAACCUUAUAAGCUUACACUACCGAUGGUAGAGUAAGAAAAAAUUUAUUGGUAUAAGAUGAGCCCGCGUCCGAUUAGCUAGUUGGUGGGAUAACAGCCUACCAAGGCCACGAUCGGUAACCGGCCUGAGAGGGUGACCGGUCACACUGGGACUGAGACACGGCCCAGACUCCUACGGGAGGCAGCAGUGGGGAAUAUUGCACAAUGGGGGAAACCCUGAUGCAGCAACGCCGCGUGAAGGAUGAAGGUUUUCGGAUCGUAAACUUCUAUCAGUAGGGAAGAAAAAAAUGACAGUACCUAACUAAGAAGCCCCGGCUA